Molecule: ribosomal RNA, 460 nt
Filed under: uncultured bacterium
Lineage: Bacteria
Description: partial 16S ribosomal RNA
Rfam family: Bacterial small subunit ribosomal RNA
Source: RNAcentral
CCUACGGGAGGCUGCAGUGAGGAAUAUUGGUCAAUGGGCGCGAGCCUGAACCAGCCAAGUAGCGUGAAGGAUGACUGCCCUACGGGUUGUAAACUUCUUUUAUAAAGGAAUAAAGUGAGGCACGUGUGCCUUUUUGUAUGUACCUUCUGAAUAAGGAUCGGCUAACUCCGUGCAAGCAGCCGCGGUAAUACGGAGGAUCCGAGCGUUAUCCGGAUUUAUUGGGUUUAAUGGGUGCGUAGGCGGCCUUUUAAGUCAGCGGUGAAAGUCUGUGGCUCAACCAUAGAAUUGCCGUUGAAACUGGGGGGCUUGAGGAUGUUUGAGGCAGGCGGAAUGCGUGGUGUAGCGGUGAAAUGCUUAGAUAUCACGCAGAACCCCGAUUGCGAAGGCAGGCUGCCAAGCCAUGACUGACGCUGAUGCACGAAAGCGUGGGGAUCAAACAGGAUUAGAUACCCCGGUAGUC